GCGUACACGGUGGAUGCCCUGGCAGUCAGAGGCGAUGAAGGACGUGCUAAUCUGCGAAAAGCGCCGGCGAGGUGAUAUGAACCCUUGACCCGGCGAUGUCCGAAUGGGGAAACCCAGUGUGAUUCGUCACACUAUCGUUAACUGAAUACAUAGGUUAACGAGGCGAACCGGGGGAACUGAAACAUCUAAGUACCCCGAGGAAAAGAAAUCAACCGAGAUUCCCCCAGUAGCGGCGAGCGAACGGGGAG
Molecule: ribosomal RNA, 248 nt
Filed under: Enterobacter cloacae
Lineage: Bacteria; Pseudomonadati; Pseudomonadota; Gammaproteobacteria; Enterobacterales; Enterobacteriaceae
Description: partial 23S ribosomal RNA
Rfam family: Bacterial large subunit ribosomal RNA
Source: RNAcentral